UCAGGAUGAACGCUAGCGGCAGGCCUAAUACAUGCAAGUCGAACGGUCCGCAAGGACAGUGGCAAACGGGUGCGUAACGCGUAAGCAACCUGCCCCAUACCGGGGGAUAGCCUGGCGAAAGCCGGGGUAAACCCGCAUAGUCCCUUUGCGCUUCAUGGCGCGUCGGGUAAACAUUUAUGGGUAUGGGAGGGGCUUGCGUCUGAUUAGUUAGUUGGCGGGGUAACGGCCCACCAAGACGGUGAUCAGUAGGGGUUCUGAGAGGAUUGGCCCCCACAUGGGUACUGAGAUACGGACCCAACUCCUACGGGAGGCAGCAGUAGGGAAUAUUGGGCAAUGGAGGCAACUCUGACCCAGCCAUGCCGCGUGCAGGAUGAAGGCGCUCAGCGUCGUAAACUGCUUUUAUCUGGGAAGAACUAUGAGGAUGCGUCCUUAUUGACGGUACCA
This 444-nucleotide ribosomal RNA is filed under the name Spirosoma sp. RNAcentral describes it as "bacterial SSU rRNA". It matches the Rfam family "Bacterial small subunit ribosomal RNA", at positions 24 to 480 of the family's 1533-position model. The record is from RNAcentral. Lineage: Bacteria; Pseudomonadati; Bacteroidota; Cytophagia; Cytophagales; Cytophagaceae.